This 433-nucleotide ribosomal RNA is filed under the name uncultured bacterium. RNAcentral describes it as "partial 16S ribosomal RNA". It matches the Rfam family "Bacterial small subunit ribosomal RNA", at positions 29 to 507 of the family's 1533-position model. The record is from RNAcentral.
AACGAACGCUGGCGGCAUGCCUAACACAUGCAAGUCGAACGAGACCUUCGGGUCUAGUGGCGCACGGGUGCGUAACGCGUGGGAACCUGCCCUUAGGUUCGGAAUAACUCCCCGAAAGGGGUGCUAAUACCGGAUAAUGUCUUCGGACCAAAGAUUUAUCGCCUUUGGAUGGGCCCGCGUUGGAUUAGCUAGUUGGUAGGGUAAAAGCCUACCAAGGCGACGAUCCAUAGCUGUUCUGAGAGGAUGAUCAGCCACACUGGGACUGAGACACGGCCCAGACUCCUACGGGAAGCAGCAGUGGGGAAUAUUGGACAAUGGGCGAAAGCCUGAUCCAGCAAUGCCGCGUGAGUGAUGAAGGCCUUAGGGUUGUAAAGCUCUUUUACCCGGGAUGAUAAUGACAGUACCGGGAGAAUAAGCUCCGGCUAACUCCGUG